This is a long non-coding RNA of Hypomesus transpacificus, 2016 nucleotides long. RefSeq lists it as uncharacterized. The transcript has 4 exons. The record is from RefSeq and is a predicted model, not a curated record. NCBI's taxonomy places the organism in Eukaryota, Metazoa, Chordata, Actinopteri, Osmeriformes, Osmeridae.
GACAUGGAAGUAGCAAAGUUAACUUGAACAAAACAGGAACAUGGGUAUGUGGCAAAUGUGACAUGGAUGAAAGCAGAAGUCAAAUUCAUCCUUAAAAGGGUGUACCUGGAUACUGCAUAUCACUGUGUCAAAUGCUUAGUCUUAUGAAGUCUCACAUACCACUUGAAAAGGUGGCGGGGGUGUUGUUGAAAAUGACAAUAAAUCAUAUAGAAUGCAGGAAUGUUUAAUUUUAUGGGUUUUCUCCUAAGAGGUCAUGGAGGGUAAGAGUGGAAAUAAAUGAGAUUUGAAACAGAAGAGGGGGGAACUUCUGAGGGAUGUUCACUCUUCACAACAGUGGCUGUUAACCACUCUAGGUUGCUGCCUUCAUUGUUGUCUCUGACAGCAGACUAAAUGUCUCCCUCUCCUGAAAGCCCUGCCUACAGCUCUUGUGAGCCCACAUAAACCCAAAGGCCUCCUCCCUUUCUCGCUUUGUGCUUAGAAGCAGCUCUGGGGCCAUCGUGGCUCUCUGAGGAAACAGCCUUCUCUGGCUACAUCCUUAAGGUCCUGGUUAUACUGGAGCAGGGUGGUGACGUUCACAGGUGUCUGCCCAACCCCAAGGAUCACAUUUAUAAAAUGUGUCUUGGUUAAAGUUUUAACAGCGUCUAUAUAAUCGAGGAAAAAAGAAAGACAAAUAUCAAGGACAAAAGACGUUACCAAUCAACGAACAGAAUAGACUGGCUAGUCGGAGGGCUGCGAGCGAGGUUUUGCAGAUGUAUCGACUUCCAUGCAGAAAUGUAAGGAUAAGUAUUGUGGUAAGAAAAACUUACAAUCAUCAUACAAAUCGUCUUUAUAUGUAAAUAUUGUCCAACGUGCAGAUAACUUGGAGCUAGUUAGUUUGACAGACUUUUGCAAAGCGAACAUGCUUAAGUUUUUCGUUCGCUUUUUGCGCUGCCCUUGCGUUAUAUUGUCCUUAACUGUCGAUUGGAACCGUGGAGUUUGUCCCAGCAGAUGGCACUAAAGUACUAAUUCAGUUCGUUCUUAAACGCGUGGCUGCCAUGUUCAUCUUGCAUGCGUGAGGAGACAAGACUGGCCCAUUGGGACGUGGACUUUCAGACCAAGCUUGCCUGUCUAGGAGAUGUCGGCGACCCCUGUCUCCUAUGUAGAGCUAACUAAUUGAACAACAUGGGUAAUGAGAUGAACCUUCUCCAUGCACACGGCUGGCUGUAGGAUGCAAAAACGUUUAAAGGUACAAUAGGUAAGAGUUUGAACCUGUCAAACUCGAGCAGGAGGAUGGAACGGAAUGCAUGUCUGAAUUCUGAUGUCCAUAUGUUCCAGAACCAUAUACCAAACUUUUUUUAUUGACUGCAAAUGUAAAAGACAAGUGUCUGAAAGUUACUGGCACAGUGUUUUAAUUAAGUGUUUCCUGUAAUGGGCAUUCGUUCAUGCUUAACCAGGAAGUACCAUGAUGACCUUGCAAAAUUAUGCAACUACUUGAAUCCUAGCCAAGUCAUUAUCAUAUCAUAUUUGCAGCACGCACGUUUUGGAACAUGCUGUUCUUAAGUUAAAUAAAUAAAUAAAAUCCACCAGGCAGACAUGGCAGUUUAAAUUUGAAUGGUUUGUUCACAAAUGUAAGCUAUUAACAAAUUAUACAUUGAUUUUAUAAGUAACAUGUAUGAAAAUGGAUAGCCGUUUGAAAUAUCCAAAUUCUUAAACCUUGGUAGGUUAUCAUGGUAGAUGGGUUUUUGUUAGCCUUUGAAACAUGAUUUUAAACAUGUAAGUCAUCUUCCCUGGUUGUUGGCUCUUAACCUGUUUAUAUAAGUGUGUGUACACAACUGACCAAAAGCAUAUGAGAUUAGUCUCAAGAUCCAGCUGCUAUGUCAUGGAGAUAAUCUUUACGACAUGCUUACAAACAUUAGUCCUGGAAAAUGACAUUUCUUGUUUGAUCUUCCAUAAAAUAUUUGUUUAAUCCAAUUUUGUGGUGAUGUAAAAAAUUAUACUGAUUAUAGCACUUGUGCAUUUAAAAGAACUGGACUCAAA